UACGUAGGUGGCAAGCGUUGUCCGGAUUUACUGGGCGUAAAGGAUGCGUAGGCGGACAUUUAAGUCAGAUGUGAAAUACCCGAGCUUAACUUGGGUGCUGCAUUUGAAACUGGGUGUCUAGAGUGCAGGAGAGGUAAGUGGAAUUCCUAGUGUAGCGGUGAAAUGCGUAGAGAUUAGGAAGAACACCGGUGGCGAAGGCGGCAUCCUGGACCAACACUGACACUGAGGAGCGAAAGCCAGGGGAGCAAACGGG
This 253-nucleotide ribosomal RNA is filed under the name uncultured bacterium. Its description in RNAcentral is "partial 16S ribosomal RNA". It matches the Rfam family "Bacterial small subunit ribosomal RNA", at positions 524 to 776 of the family's 1533-position model. The record is from RNAcentral.